This 737-nucleotide ribosomal RNA is filed under the name uncultured bacterium. Its description in RNAcentral is "bacterial SSU rRNA". It matches the Rfam family "Bacterial small subunit ribosomal RNA", at positions 60 to 844 of the family's 1533-position model. The record is from RNAcentral.
AGUCGAACGGAUCCUUCGGGAUUAGUGGCGGACGGGUGAGUAACACGUGGGAACGUGCCCUUUGGUUCGGAACAACUCAGGGAAACUUGAGCUAAUACCGGAUGUGCCCUUCGGGGGAAAGAUUUAUCGCCAUUGGAGCGGCCCGCGUCUGAUUAGCUAGUUGGUGAGGUAAAGGCUCACCAAGGCGACGAUCAGUAGCUGGUCUGAGAGGAUGAUCAGCCACAUUGGGACUGAGACACGGCCCAAACUCCUACGGGAGGCAGCAGUGGGGAAUCUUGCGCAAUGGGCGAAAGCCUGACGCAGCCAUGCCGCGUGAAUGAUGAAGGUCUUAGGAUUGUAAAAUUCUUUCACCGGGGACGAUAAUGACGGUACCCGGAGAAGAAGCCCCGGCUAACUUCGUGCCAGCAGCCGCGGUAAUACGAAGGGGGCUAGCGUUGCUCGGAAUUACUGGGCGUAAAGGGAGCGUAGGCGGACUGUUUAGUCAGAGGUGAAAGCCCAGGGCUCAACCUUGGAAUUGCCUUUGAUACUGGCAGUCUUGAGUACGGAAGAGGUAUGUGGAACUCCGAGUGUAGAGGUGAAAUUCGUAGAUAUUCGGAAGAACACCAGUGGCGAAGGCGACAUACUGGUCCGUUACUGACGCUGAGGCUCGAAAGCGUGGGGAGCAAACAGGAUUAGAUACCCUGGUAGUCCACGCCGUAAACGAUGAGUGCUAGUUGUCGGCAUGCAUGCAUGUCGGU